Long non-coding RNA from Cyprinus carpio (common carp), 1155 nucleotides. The record is from Ensembl. NCBI's taxonomy places the organism in Eukaryota, Metazoa, Chordata, Actinopteri, Cypriniformes, Cyprinidae.
GCUGAAACUACUCUUUCAACCACCACACCAGCCGUCCCAUCCAGUACUCUCAUUGUCGAAGAAGGAAGCACCACUGCCCAACCAUCUACAGAAUCAUCAGCUCCAAGCGCAUUCUCAACAACUUCAAAAUCAUCUACAGCUACUCAAACAACUGGACAACCAACAACAACUGAGACUGUAACUGAGAAUGAAUUAACCACAACUCAGACACCUUUGUCAACCACCACCAGGCCACCAAAAGUGGGGACGACUGGUCUAACAAGCCAACCAACGACUACAGCAACAACCACUUUAGAAGAGGUAACAGGCACAUCAUCUGAAACAUCAACAUCUACAAGCACAGCCCUGCCAGUGUCCCAAACUUCAUUGCCAGUUGUUACAUCCACACAGCCAACAACGCUGACAAAGACAACUGCUGUACCAGUCACUACCCUUGUGUACACAACAGUGAGUGUAGAAUCAUCCACUGGGUCUGAGGUAACCACUCAGGGUCUUUCUUCAACAACAAAACCACUCAAAGCUGAAACUACUCUUUCAACCACCACACCAGCCAUCCCAUCCACUACUGUCAUUGUCGAGGAAGGAAGCACCACUGCCCAACCAUCUACAGGAUCAUCAGCUCCAAUCGUAGUUUCCGCAACUUCAAAAUCAUUUACACCUACUCAAACAACUGGACAACCAACAACGACUGAGACUGUAACUGAAAAUGAGUUGACCACAACUCAGACACCUUUGUCCACCACCACCAGGCCACCAAAAGUGGGGACGACUGGCCUAACAAGCCAACCAACGACUACAGCAACAACCACUUUAGAAGAGGUAACAGGCACAUCAUCUGAAACAUCAACAUCUACAAGCACAGCCCUGCCAGUGUCCCAAACUUCAUUGCCAGUUGUUACAUCCACACAGCCAACAACGCUGACAAAAACAACUGCUGUACCAGUCACUACCCUUGUGUACACAACAGUGAGUGUAGAAUCAUCCACUGGGUCUGAGGUUACCACUCAGGGUCUUGCUUCAACAACAAAACCACUCAAAGUUGAAACAACAUCCUCUUUAUUGUCAACCACUUCAGUUGUUUGUUGUUUUGUUAAUGGCACACAUUUUCAAUCAGGUACAAAAUUCCCACUUAAUUUUUAUUCUUGUAUUAAUUAA